AUUAAUGCAUAUAUACAACAACAGAAUAGCAAGUGCGAUAGAAGAUAGAAAUGUUGUAAAAUGUUCUAUUAAAGAAACUCGAUUAAUUUGGAAUUAAUUUGAGCAGUUGAAGAAAGAUGAUGAAGGAAAUGGUGGUGUAAAUGAAAGCAACUCUAGUGGUGCCUCAAGAGGAAAUUGGUGGCAAGGAUCACUCUAUUAUUGAAGAAGAAGUUGCUUUUCACUGAAUUUCUGCUAUGAAAGAGAAGGUGAUUAUAUUCAUGAGGAAUUAUGAAUAUAAGGUUAUGCAUUAUGAAAGUAUUAUUAGUGUAGAUCAUUAACCUGGAACCAGCUAGUUAUUGUAACGUUUUGUUCCCGUUUUAGAGUACUUAACUUAAUUACGUACUUAUGAGUUUAAUUACUACUACUUAACCUUUGUAUCGUGUUGCAAUGUUUAAUAAACUAAAACUACGAGUCUUA
Molecule: non-coding RNA, 456 nt
Organism: Erythranthe guttata (spotted monkey flower)
Lineage: Eukaryota; Viridiplantae; Streptophyta; Magnoliopsida; Lamiales; Phrymaceae
Source: RefSeq, a predicted model, not a curated record